UACAGGGGGUGCAAACGUUGCUCGGAAUCAUUGGGCGUAAAGCGCACGUAGGCGGUUCGUUAUGUCGGAUGUGAAAGCCCUUGGCUUAACCGAGGAAGUGCAUCCGAAACUGGCGAGCUAGAGUACGAAAGAGGAUCGCGGAAUUCCCGGUGUAGAGGUGAAAUUCGUAGAUAUCGGGAGAAACACCGGUGGCGAAGGCGGCGAUCUGGGUCGAUACUGACGCUGAGGUGCGAAAGCGUGGGGAGCAAACAGG
This 253-nucleotide ribosomal RNA is filed under the name uncultured bacterium. RNAcentral describes it as "partial 16S ribosomal RNA". It matches the Rfam family "Bacterial small subunit ribosomal RNA", at positions 524 to 776 of the family's 1533-position model. The record is from RNAcentral.